GUGAGGAAUAUUGGUCAAUGGGCGGGAGCCUGAACCAGCCAAGUCGCGUGAAGGAAGAAGGGUCUAUGGUUCGUAAACUUCUUUUGCAGGGGAAUAAAGUGCAGGACGUGUCCUGUUUUGUAUGUACCCUGAGAAUAAGGAUCGGCUAACUCCGUGCCAGCAGCCGCGGUAAUACGGAGGAUCCGAGCGUUAUCCGGAUUUAUUGGGUUUAAAGGGUGCGUAGGUGGUUUGAUAAGUCAGCGGUGAAAGUUUGCAGCUUAACUGUAAAAAUGCCGUUGAAACUGUCGGACUUGAGUGUAAAUGAGGUAGGCGGAAUGCGUGGUGUAGCGGUGAAAUGCAUAGAUAUCACGCAGAACUCCGAUUGCGAAGGCAGCUUACUAAGCUACAACUGACACUGAAGCACGAAAGCGUGGGGAUCAAACAGGAUUAGAUACCCUAGUAGUCC
Molecule: ribosomal RNA, 445 nt
Filed under: uncultured bacterium
Lineage: Bacteria
Description: partial 16S ribosomal RNA
Rfam family: Bacterial small subunit ribosomal RNA
Source: RNAcentral